This 252-nucleotide ribosomal RNA is filed under the name uncultured bacterium. RNAcentral's name for it is "partial 16S ribosomal RNA". It matches the Rfam family "Bacterial small subunit ribosomal RNA", at positions 524 to 775 of the family's 1533-position model. The record is from RNAcentral.
UACGUAGGGUGCGAGCGUUGUCCGGAAUUAUUGGGCGUAAAGGGCUCGUAGGCGGUUUGUCGCGUCGGGAGUGAAAACUCAGGGCUUAACCCUGAGCCUGCUUCCGAUACGGGCAGACUAGGGGUAUGCAGGGGAGAACGGAAUUCCUGGUGUAGCGGUGAAAUGCGCAGAUAUCAGGAGGAACACCGGUGGCGAAGGCGGUUCUCUGGGCAUUACCUGACGCUGAAGAUCGAAAGUGUGGGUAGCAAAUCG